CGCGGGCUGCCCGGCGCGAACGCCUGCGGGGAGGGCGGCCUCCUCGCCCGGCCCGGCCCUGCCCUGCCCCGGGGGCGGCGGCUCGGCGCAAGUCGGGCGGCCCUGGGGAGGCUGCGGGCGCGGCGUCUGGAGUUUUGAGGCAAAUCGAAGCGAGGGUCUUUCAGGCGAAGUGGCUAGACGUCCCAGCGGGGACAAUAGGUGUCAAGCGGCCGGCGGGGCGGGGCGGGGCGGGGCGGGGCGCCCCGGGGAAGGGCCGGCGGCCGGGGGUCCCUGGGGCGCGCGCGGGGCCGGGGCCAGAGGGCUGGCCUGUUAGGAGUCCUAAAGCUCCGGACUCGUGUGAAAACAGCCUUCAGCUACCUUGAGGAAGUGCUGUGAGGAUGUCUUAAGUAGGGCGUGUUGACAAUUGCCAGAUAGAUGGAAAAGGACCGCAAACUCCAGUCGCUGAUCUAGGAAGGAGCAGUGGCAUUCCAAGAUGGGAGAGAAAAUGUUGAGAGAAAUUUGCUGAGGAAAGAAUCCAAGCAGAGUGGUGACUGGAAGGAGAGUAGCAGAGGAGAUGAUCGCAGAGGAUAUCGCACAGGGUAGUCACACUCCAUUAAGACGCUGCUUCCAGAGGAGACUUUUCUCUAGGCCCUUCUUGUCUAGACCGCGUGCCUCUGGCAGUCCUGUCCUGCUGCAAGACCCGUGUUCCUUGGCUUUCUUUGGAGUCAGAGCUGGAGAUGCUGCUUCUCCUGAAUGCGGUGCUAACAUCUACCUAAAGAAGAAAGAGGCCAGUUCUUUAGGACGGGGCAAGUUGGUUUGACGAGAGAAAGAGAAGAGGUGAUCAUGUGACAAGAAAUAGAUGGUGUUUGAAGCCAAGAAGUGAGAAUUAGUGAGAUCUAUUGAGAUUAAAGCAAAGAGAAGAGAACCUAGGACAACAGCAACAUUUGAAGGAAAGUCUUACACCAGACAACUUUGAUGGAGGAAGAAGUGCACGACCACGACCACAGCGAGAGGGUGGGCCCCUGGAACCCGGAACGUCCUGCUUACUCCCACGGAGCUGGGCUCAGACUGUACGCAGGGCUCCUUAGAGGUCAUGCAGAUCGGGGAAAAUGGGCAACACUCAUUAAGUGUUUCGUGCCUAGAGUACCUGCUGCUGGACUCCUUUCAUCCCUGUGGAGCAGGCCCCUUCACCAGCUUCAUCUUACAGAGCUCACGCUCGUAACUAAUGGCGCAUACAACCGUUUUUACUCCACAACGCACGUCCAAACCUAACCAACACGUGAGAAACGCAGCCUGAGUCUCAGAAGCAAGAGCAUCAACAAAGAAGCUGCCUAAACAAGUGAAACCAAGCCUGCAGAACUGCAAGGCCACAUGUCUAACAGACGUGAUAAUGACUGUACACCCUCUCUAUUCCUUUCUUCACAAAGGGCUGACCCACCCAUGUGAAAACCUGCCGGGGACCUCAGCCUUCAGCUCUAGGAUUUGUUUCAGCAUUCCCCUUUCUGCCUGGUUAGGUCCCCGGGCCCUUGCUGUCAUCUUCUGAGUACGUUUUUCCUCCUUCUGAUUCCAUUUCUUAACUCCAGAUUCGGGCCCUCCACACUUCUCACUGUACCCAUUUCAACAUGCCCUUUGGGCUCUAGCCAGCAUUCCCUCUUGGAAAUGAUCUUAACACGACCUUGUGGGGCCACAGGGGAGAGGCUUGGCUUGGCUCCCUGCCUGGGCCUCAGGCUCUGCCACACAAGGAGACGCCCACUCUCAGGACAGCGGAAGAGGACACACAUUCACAUUCGUAUAAAGCUCAUUGUUUACAGAACAUUUGAAAAAUAUCCUGUGGUGUUUUUAGGAGAAGACAGAGCAGGUACUAUUUUCUCCAUUUUUUUUUAAAUGUCACAAACAUUUCAAGCAUACAAGAGAAAUACACAUAUAGAGACAUCCAUGAACACUGCCCAGACUUGACACAUUUACAUUUAUUUUUCCUUAAAGAAAUAAAAUGUUACAGAUAUGAUUGAAUAUCUUCCCAUCCCAUUUCCCCCCUCCUUCCCCAGAGAACCCACGAUCCUUAAAUUGAUCUGAAUCAUGGCAUCCAGGUUUUUAAAUUGUCUGUAUCUAUCUAUCUCUCUACCUGGAAUCUGCAAUGGAUACUAUUGUUCUGUGUUCCUAAAACUUUGACACAAUAUCUUACUAUAUGUAUCCUUUUGCAACUUGCUUUUUUUUUUCAAUUAGUCUUUUUUUUAAUUGAUUGAUUUUUUUUUUUCAGAUUCAGAUUUGUGUUUGUUUGUUUUCCCUUUGGAAUCCUAGUUGGGUUUUUUUGGCAGUAGCAUUGGUUUAUAACAUUAUAUAAAUUUCGGGUGUCCAUCAUUAUAUUUCAGUUUCUGUGUAGAUUGCAUCAUGUUCACCACCCAAAGACUAAUUACCAUCCAUCACCACACACAGGUGCCUAAUCACCCCUUUCGCCCUCCUGCCUCCCCGCUUCCCCUCUGGUAACCACCAGUCCAAUCCCUGUCUCUGGGUGUUUGCCUGCUGUUGUUUGCAACUUGCUUUUUCAGUGUUUUGUUUCUAAGAUUUAUCUUUGUUGAAACAUGUAUCUAAGUUCAUUUAUUUCACCUACUAGAGUGUCUCUUUUUGCUGUAUGCGUAUACACAUACAUAUGUUACUUAUCUAGUUUCCUACUGAAAGAAAUUUACAUAACUUUCUUUUUUGCACCGUUUUGAAAGAUACUGCAAUGACCAGUGUUGCACACUGUUCUUGUAGACAUGUGCUGGACUUUUUCUAGUGCAAAUUCCUGGAAGUAGAAUUGCUAGGUCAUAGGAUAUGUGCAGAACUACAAUUUUAGAAGACACUGCCAAUUGCUCUCCCAAGAGGUUGUACCAAUUUGCAUUUCCAUCAUCUGAGUUUGAGAAUUCCCA
Molecule: long non-coding RNA, 2885 nt
Filed under: Equus asinus (donkey)
Lineage: Eukaryota; Metazoa; Chordata; Mammalia; Perissodactyla; Equidae
Description: lncRNA (ENSEASG00005037639.1)
Source: RNAcentral